AGAGGCUGCUCUGCUGGUGGGGGUGGGGUCACUUAUCUCAGCCCCAGACUGUCAGCUCUCAGGAUUAUCCACCUCGGCUCCUGGUUGCAGCAACUGCUGUGGCAGUAUGUGGAGCGAGCACCUCUGGCUCCCAACUUCUCCUGACUGAGCUGGCCACGCUUCCUUCUCCUCUGUGCCUCAGGUGCUUGCUGAGACUUCUCUGUUGGACUCUAGUGCUCUCUCCUGGAUGUUCUAUUCGAGCUCUGCACCACUAAGCUCUCUACAUGGCCGAGGCACCAGACCAGAAUGCGCCCUUUCGACAGGCAGAGACAGCCAAAGGGGAAAAGAGCUGAUUCAAGGCUGCCAAGUUCCUGCUUCCAGCCCUACCAGCCAGUCACUCACGCCUUGCAAUGAGGAAGCCAGGAGUCCUAUCUAGAGCCUUUCCAUAGUUGUGGGAAAGAAGAUGGAUAAAGUUAUUGUUAAUCUGCAGAGGAAG
This 475-nucleotide small RNA is filed under the name Pongo abelii (Sumatran orangutan). Its description in RNAcentral is "sense overlapping". Lineage: Eukaryota; Metazoa; Chordata; Mammalia; Primates; Hominidae. The record is from RNAcentral.